This 202-nucleotide ribosomal RNA is filed under the name uncultured bacterium. RNAcentral describes it as "partial 16S ribosomal RNA". It matches the Rfam family "Bacterial small subunit ribosomal RNA", at positions 1299 to 1500 of the family's 1533-position model. The record is from RNAcentral.
UGUAGUCUGCAACUCGACUACAUGAAGCUGGAAUCGCUAGUAAUCGCGGAUCAGAAUGCCGCGGUGAAUACGUUCCCGGGUCUUGUACACACCGCCCGUCACACCAUGGGAGCCGGAAAUGCCCGAAGUCUGUGACUCAACCGAGAGGGGCGAGCAGCCGAAGGUGGAGCUGGUAACUGGGGUGAAGUCGUAACAAGGUACC